GAUGAACGCUGGCGGCGUGCCUAAUACAUGCAAGUCGAGCGAACGGACGAGAAGCUUGCUUCCCUGAUGUUAGCGGCGGACGGGUGAGUAACACGUGGAUAACCUACUUAUAAGACUGGGAUAACUUCGGGAAACCGGAGCUAAUACCGGAUAAUAUUUUGAACCGCAUGGUUCAAAAGUGAAAGACGGUCUUGCUGUCACUUAUAGAUGGAUCCGCGCUGCAUUAGCUAGUUGGUAAGGUAACGGCUUACCAAGGCAACGAUGCAUAGCCGACCUGAGAGGGUGAUCAGCCACACUGGAACUGAGACACGGUCCAGACUCCUACGGGAGGCAGCAGUAGGGAAUCUUCCGCAAUGGGCGAAAGCCUGACGGAGCAACACCGCGUGAGUGAUGAAGGUCUUCGGAUCGUAAAACUCUGUUAUUAGGGAAGAACAUAUGUGUAAUUAACUGUGCACAUCUUGACGGUACCUAAUCAGAAAGCCACGGCUAACUACGUG
Molecule: ribosomal RNA, 497 nt
Filed under: uncultured bacterium
Lineage: Bacteria
Description: partial 16S ribosomal RNA
Rfam family: Bacterial small subunit ribosomal RNA
Source: RNAcentral